AUUGAACGCUGGCGGCAUGCUUUACACAUGCAAGUCGAACGGCAGCGCGGGCUUCGGCCUGGCGGCGAGUGGCGAACGGGUGAGUAAUGCAUCGGAACGUGCCCAGUAGUGGGAGAUAGCCCGGCGAAAGCCGGAUUAAUACCGCAUACGACCUGAGGGUGAAAGCGGGGGACCGAAAGGCCUCGCGCUAUUGGAGCGGCCGAUGUCGGAUUAGCUAGUUGGUGGGGUAAAGGCUUACCAAGGCGACGAUCCGUAGCUGGUCUGAGAGGACGACCAGCCACACUGGGACUGAGACACGGCCCAGACUCCUACGGGAGGCAGCAGUGGGGAAUUUUGGACAGUGGGGGCAACCCUGAUCCAGCCAUGCCGCGUGCGGGAAGAAGGCCUUCGGGUUGUAAACCGCUUUUGUUCGGGAAGAAAUCCUCUGGGCUAAUACCCCGGGGGGAUGACGGUACCGGAAGAAUAAGCACCGGCUAACUACGU
Molecule: ribosomal RNA, 483 nt
Filed under: uncultured bacterium
Lineage: Bacteria
Description: partial 16S ribosomal RNA
Rfam family: Bacterial small subunit ribosomal RNA
Source: RNAcentral